RNAcentral lists this ribosomal RNA (375 nucleotides) under uncultured bacterium. Its description in RNAcentral is "bacterial SSU rRNA". It matches the Rfam family "Bacterial small subunit ribosomal RNA", at positions 524 to 898 of the family's 1533-position model. The record is from RNAcentral.
UACGUAGGUCCCGAGCGUUAUCCGGAUUUAUUGGGCGUAAAGCGAGCGCAGGCGGUUAGAUAAGUCUGAAGUUAAAGGCUGUGGCUUAACCAUAGUACGCUUUGGAAACUGUUUAACUUGAGUGCAGAAGGGGAGAGUGGAAUUCCAUGUGUAGCGGUGAAAUGCGUAGAUAUAUGGAGGAACACCGGUGGCGAAAGCGGCUCUCUGGUCUGUAACUGACGCUGAGGCUCGAAAGCGUGGGGAGCAAACAGGAGUAGAUACCCUGGUAGUCCACGCCGUAAACGAUGAGUGCUAGGUGUUGGGUCCUUUCCGGGACUCAGUGCCGCAGCUAACGCAUUAAGCACUCGGCCUGGGGAGUACGACCGCAAGGUUGAA